RNAcentral lists this long non-coding RNA (1936 nucleotides) under Carassius auratus (goldfish). Its description in RNAcentral is "lncRNA (ENSCARG00000012450.1)". The record is from RNAcentral. Lineage: Eukaryota; Metazoa; Chordata; Actinopteri; Cypriniformes; Cyprinidae.
UUAAGUCCCACAAAAACCCUGAUAAAUCUUAUAAGUGCAUUUUAAUUUCAUAGACAAUUAGAUAAAUGCAGCUGCAAGCAAUUACAGGAACAAGUGAGGUCAAAAUUUGUUCAGCAUAAUGCAAAGAGUAAAGGGAGAUCAAAGUCUUUUGCAACUAAACCAUGCUAGGAAUAGUUCAAAACCACAUCCUUUAGGUCAGCAGCACAGAGCUCAACCCACCAUGACACAUCAGGAAUGGCAGCAGUCAGACAGAGACAUCAUUCAACAAAGUGUUUUGCAGGUGAAUAUUGUGUCUACUGUUGGGGAGGAUGCUAUUUCAUGCCCAUGAGAAGACUUUGCAGGACCAGAAGAAGACAACCAGUAAGUAUCUUUAACUGAUGUCUAUACAAUUGCAGAUAACUGUUAAAGGGUUAGUUCAUCACAAAAUCAAAAUUGUCAUCAUCACCCAUAUUCCAUCCCAAACCCCUAAGACUUCCAUUUAUCUUCAAAACACAAAUGAAGAUGUUUUAUUGAAAAUUAGAGAUUUAUAUUCCUCCAUUGACAGUCCACACAACUACUACUUUGAUUCUUCAAAAAUGUCAUGAAAAUAUUGUAAAACAAAUCCAUGUGAACUGAAAAGUUUAGUCCAGAUUUUCUGAAGAACUAUAAUUUUAUAUGAUGAACAGAUUGAAUUUAUGCUUUUAUUCACAUGUAAACAUGAAUCAGUACACACAUUAGAUACGAUAAACAAAAUACUUGGGAAAAAUUAAAGAGGUUCAUUUUUGUGUUAAACAUCAAUUUUGAGCUUCCACAAGAACAAAUGAAGUUUGUUCUCAUGUGUCAAGUAAGGCUGAGCGUCUGUUUGUUCAGUGUUUAUAUGUGAAUAAAAGACUAAGUUCACUUUGUUCAUCAUAUAAUGUUUCCAGGUUUCCUUAAAGGGUAAGUUCACCCUAAAAUGAAAAUUUCAUUAAUUACUCACCCUCAUGUUGUUUCACACUCAUAAGACCUUAGUUUGUCUUCAUAAAGAUAUUUUUGAUUAAAUCCAAAAACUUUCUGUCCUUCCACUGGUAGCAACGCAACUUACACAUUUCAAGGUCGAGGACUGUAACAAAUGCAUCAGAGUGAUAAAUUUCACUCACUUCUGUGGUUUAACCUCAGUUUUAUGAAGCGAUGUCAGAGCUUUGUUUAUGUAUCAUUAUUUACCUUUCAAAAUAAUUUAUCCAAAGUGCAUUCAUGUGACAGCAUAAUUUCUUGUGUAAACACAACAUGAAUCUAUUGUGGUGCUUUUGUGAAGGUACUUGCAGAUCACUGUUUCUUUGUCAGUUUGUUUUGUUUUGUCUUGUUUUGACUUGUUUUGUUUUGUGCAAACGUAGCAUUCACAUAACUUCAUAAAUCUGAGGUUCAACCACCUCUGGAUUCACAUGGAUUACUUUAAUAAAGGUCUUUAUGGUUCUGGGCCUUGAAUAUGUAAGUUGCAUGGCUGUUUAUGGAGGGACAGAAAGCUCUCAGAUUUCAUCAAAAAUAUCUUGCAGUGAAUCUUUGUGGUAUGCAUGUUUUAUCUUGAGACUUUGCUUGUUCUGAAAGGUUGGAAUGGAUAAUGUAUGUCUUUAUAGUUGCUAAAUGUCUUUUUAGAUGUAGAUUUUUUAUGUUGCUUUGGUUUUACAUCUGUGAUAUUCAGGGAGAAGGUUAACAACUGUCACAUUCGAACAGGUGUUACAUGCUAAGAAUAUUUAUACUCUGAUACUCUGUUAAUUUUUCAAGUAUUUAGUGUAAUCUGGAAAAAUGCAUUUCGCAAGGAAAUAUUUUACUGUUCAAUCACUUAUGUGUAUUUGAUAUGUACAGUACAGACCAAAAGUUUGGACACACCUUCUCAUUCAAAGAGUUUUCUUAAUUUUCAUGACUAUGAAAAUUGUAGAUUCACACUGAAGGUAUCAAAACUAUGAAUGUACACAUGUGG